This 406-nucleotide ribosomal RNA is filed under the name uncultured bacterium. Its description in RNAcentral is "partial 16S ribosomal RNA". It matches the Rfam family "Bacterial small subunit ribosomal RNA", at positions 29 to 526 of the family's 1533-position model. The record is from RNAcentral.
AUUGAACGCUGGCGGCAGGCCUAACACAUGCAAGUCGAACGAGUGGCGGACGGGUGAGUAAGGUCUGGGAAACGGCCCGAGGGAGGGGGAUCAGUACGGGAAACGGAAGCUAAUACCGCAUACCAUCGGAUAGGUCCAGAUGGGCUUAGCUAGUGGGAGGGGUAAAGGCUAACCAAGGCGACGAUCCCUAGCUGGUCUGAGAGGAUGAACAGCCACACUGGAACUGAGACCCGGUCCAGACUCCUACGGGAGGCAGCAGUGGGGAAUAUUGCACAAUGGGCGAAAGCCUGAUGCAGCCAUGCCGCGUGUAUGAAGAAGGCCUUCGGGUUGUAAAGUACUUUCAGCGGGGAGGCGUUACUCGCAGAAGAAGCACCGGCUAACUCCGUGCCAGCAGCCGCGGUAAUAC